RNAcentral lists this ribosomal RNA (826 nucleotides) under uncultured Actinobacillus sp. Its description in RNAcentral is "bacterial SSU rRNA". It matches the Rfam family "Bacterial small subunit ribosomal RNA", at positions 99 to 923 of the family's 1533-position model. Lineage: Bacteria; Pseudomonadati; Pseudomonadota; Gammaproteobacteria; Pasteurellales; Pasteurellaceae. The record is from RNAcentral.
CGGACGGGUGAGUAAUGCUUGGGAAUCUGGCUUAUGGAGGGGGAUAACUACGGGAAACUGUAGCUAAUACCGCGUAAUAUCUUCGGAUUAAAGGGUGGGACUUUCGGGCCACCUGCCAUAAGAUGAGCCCAAGUGGGAUUAGGUAGUUGGUGGGGUAAAGGGCUACCAAGCCGACGAUCUCUAGCUGGUCUGAGAGGAUGACCAGCCACACUGGAACUGAGACACGGUCCAGACUCCUACGGGAGGCAGCAGUGGGGAAUAUUGCACAAUGGGGGGAACCCUGAUGCAGCCAUGCCGCGUGAAUGAAGAAGGCCUUCGGGUUGUAAAGUUCUUUCGGUGAUGAGGAAGGUGUUUGUUUUAAUAGAACAAGCAAUUGACGUUAGUCACAGAAGAAGCACCGGCUAACUCCGUGCCAGCAGCCGCGGUAAUACGGAGGGUGCGAGCGUUAAUCGGAAUGACUGGGCGUAAAGGGCACGCAGGCGGUGACUUAAGUGAGAUGUGAAAGCCCCGGGCUUAACCUGGGAAUUGCAUUUCAUACUGGGUCGCUAGAGUAUUUUAGGGAGGGGUAGAAUUCCACGUGUAGCGGUGAAAUGCGUAGAGAUGUGGAGGAAUACCGAAGGCGAAGGCAGCCCCUUGGGAAUAUACUGACGCUCAUGUGCGAAAGCGUGGGGAGCAAACAGGAUUAGAUACCCUGGUAGUCCACGCUGUAAACGCUGUCGAUUUGGGGAUUGGGCUUAGAGCUUGGUGCCCGUAGCUAACGUGAUAAAUCGACCGCCUGGGGAGUACGGCCGCAAGGUUAAAACUCAAAUGAAUUGACGGGGGCCCG